This 465-nucleotide ribosomal RNA is filed under the name uncultured Klebsiella sp. RNAcentral describes it as "bacterial SSU rRNA". It matches the Rfam family "Bacterial small subunit ribosomal RNA", at positions 338 to 795 of the family's 1533-position model. The record is from RNAcentral. Lineage: Bacteria; Pseudomonadati; Pseudomonadota; Gammaproteobacteria; Enterobacterales; Enterobacteriaceae.
CCUACGGGCGGCAGCAGUGGGGAAUAUUGCACAAUGGGCGCAAGCCUGAUGCAGCCAUGCCGCGUGUGUGAAGAAGGCCUUCGGGUUGUAAAGCACUUUCAGCGGGGAGGAAGGCGUUAAGGUUAAUAACCUUGUCGAUUGACGUUACCCGCAGAAGAAGCACCGGCUAACUCCGUGCCAGCAGCCGCGGUAAUACGGAGGGUGCAAGCGUUAAUCGGAAUUACUGGGCGUAAAGCGCACGCAGGCGGUCUGUCAAGUCGGAUGUGAAAUCCCCGGGCUCAACCUGGGAACUGCAUUCGAAACUGGCAGGCUAGAGCCUUGUAGAGGGGGGUAGAAUUCCAGGUGUAGCGGUGAAAUGCGUGGAGAUCUGGAGGAAUACCGGUGGCGAAGGCGGCCCCCUGGACAAAGACUGACGCUCAGGUGCGAAAGCGUGGGGAGCAAACAGGAUUAGAUACCCUAGUAGUC